This 301-nucleotide ribosomal RNA is filed under the name uncultured bacterium. Its description in RNAcentral is "partial 16S ribosomal RNA". It matches the Rfam family "Bacterial small subunit ribosomal RNA", at positions 509 to 808 of the family's 1533-position model. The record is from RNAcentral.
CAGUCGCCGCGGUAAUACGUAGGUCCCGAGCGUUGUCCGGAUUUAUUGGGCGUAAAGGGGGCGCAGGCGGUUUGGUAAGUCUGAAGUUAAAGGCAUUGGCUCAACCAAUGUAUGCUUUGGAAACUGUUAGACUUGAGUGCAGAAGGGGAGAGUGGAAUUCCAUGUGUAGCGGUGAAAUGCGUAGAUAUAUGGAGGAACACCGGUGGCGAAAGCGGCUCUCUGGUCUGUCACUGACGCUGAGGCUCGAAAGCGUGGGUAGCGAACAGGAUUAGAUACCCCCGUAGUCCCUGUCUCUUAUACA